RNAcentral lists this long non-coding RNA (444 nucleotides) under Homo sapiens (human). RNAcentral's name for it is "non-protein coding lnc-FOXO1-2:1". The record is from RNAcentral. Lineage: Eukaryota; Metazoa; Chordata; Mammalia; Primates; Hominidae.
GAAUACCAUCGGAGCUCCUCUGGAACAUGUCCUUGUCUUCUCAGAGUGUGAAGUGUGUGUGUGACAGUGCUUUUCUGAGGACUCAGGUGACCUGGAGGCUGGAGAACAGCAUGGAGCAAGGAAAACAAAGACGAUGUGCUGGAGUGUAUGUUGCUUUCAUAAUUAUGUGAAAGAAAAUGUAGAGAAAUUUGAAAGGAGAACUGGUUAUCAGUAGUGCCAUCCUGCUCAAAUAUCUUCAAAUACACACCACCAUCCAUGUGUGGGUUGAUUAAGGAGCUGACGUUCAUUAGAUCUGCAGUCUCCUGACCUGAUGUGCAUCAGAAUCACUGGGAGAACAAACAAACAAAAAUGAAUCCAAAACAAGCAACGAACAGACAGAUUCUCAAGUCUUGCCAAGUCCAAAGAUUGAUUUGGUGGAGAAAUUGUACUUUGAAAGCUGCCCAG